This is a long non-coding RNA of Vespa velutina, 1537 nucleotides long. RefSeq lists it as uncharacterized. The record is from RefSeq and is a predicted model, not a curated record. Lineage: Eukaryota; Metazoa; Arthropoda; Insecta; Hymenoptera; Vespidae. The transcript has 4 exons.
UCUCUCUCUCUCUCUCUCUCUCCUUCCCACCCCCACCUGCUCUUUCGUUCCUUCCUUCUUCCUUCUCUCUCUUUCGAUUUCCUAUCUCUUUGCUCAUAAUGUAUAACUUCAUACGAAAAAAAUAUCUCUCUCUCUCUCCCUUUCCCUCCUUCUUUCUCUCUCUGUAUCUAUCUAUCUAUCCAUCCAUCUUAUUAUUUUGUAUACGUAUGUACAGUAAGUCCCAAAAGUAUUUAUAUCCUUAUAACAUUCAAAAGAUCGUUAUUAUGUUUAUAGAAUCGUAACGAAGAUGUUAAUAAUAUUUUCAAAAUUGAUUGUAGCCUGCAUAUAUUUUUGGAAUUCAUUGUAUGUUGUACGAGCACGCGCAUCUUCCAUAUCCUUUCUCUCUCCCUCCCUCUCUAUCUCCCUCACUCUCUCUCUCUCUCUCUCUGGACUUCUAUUUUACUCCCACUUCCUCUCUUUCUUUAGUUAGUUGUCGACGAUCAAUCGACCAACUUUAUUGUUAUUGUCCUUAUCGUUCUAAAAUGCAAUAAAAAUAUUACUUUGAUUCUAUAACUCAACAAUGAAAUCGAUUAUAACGAUUAGAUAUUUUUGGACGAUACCAGGAAAACUUAUAAGAAACUUAUGAAGGUUAAUAAUAAAUAAUUAUAUGCGGCACAUGGAGUAAAAGAUGAAAUCUUAUCAAUGAUUCAGAUUGCAAAGAGUAAUACUUUGAAAGUAUUGAAGUUCAGAAAGUAGUAAAAAAUGAAGAGAAGGAGAAUUCAGAUAUAAGGUCACGACGAAGGAAAAGCGAAAGAAGACGAUGUUACUAAAGAAGUUUACUCUAUACAUACAUGCAUACACACACAAACAUCUGCGCGCGCGUGUGUAUAUACAUACAAUUACACACGUGCGCGCAUCCACACACACACACACACAGAGAGAGAGAGAGAGAGAGAGAGAGAGAAAGAGAGAAAAAAAGAGCGAAUGAACAGGUUCGUAUUCUUGAUUUCAAGACGACGCAUCGAUGAAUCAAAGAUCUUUUUAAGAAACUCUUCCUGUUCGUAAAUAUGACGAUUUUGAUACGACGAAUAGAGAACAAAUUGGGUCGAGAAUGUGAUAAAUACGAUUUCUUGUUCGUAUUAUAUAUUUUCUCUCUCUCUCUCUCUCUCUCUCUCUCUCUUUCUCUUUCUCUCUCUCCCCCUUUCCACAUACACACAUACACUUAGUUUCUUUACAUUCUCACAUCGUAUAUUAAAAGAUGAUAUUCAUCGGGAUAAAUCUUUAUGAACAGUUUUCUUAAGUUGCAUAUUGAUUACACUAUCGGAGAAACGAUACAUAACAUGGUCAAGGAUAGAACAGCAGUACACGUUAUCUAUGUUGACAAUCGUAAAUCGUUUGAAAAUUAGGAACGAGUAUCUAUUCGUUUUGUUUCAAAAAAUGCACGUAUUUGUUGUAAUAUACAAGUUUUUUUUCUUAAAAGAAUUUAAAAAAGAUUUUUUAUGAAAUAGAAAUUUAUAUAUAGACAUUAGAUUUCUUAUCGAUAAGUUCAUUUUUUAUA